Small nuclear RNA from Sapajus apella (tufted capuchin), 107 nucleotides. NCBI's taxonomy places the organism in Eukaryota, Metazoa, Chordata, Mammalia, Primates, Cebidae. The record is from RefSeq and is a predicted model, not a curated record.
GUGCUUGCUUCGGCAGUACAUAUACUAAAAUUGGAAUGAUAUAGAGAAGAUUAGCAUGGCCCCUGCACAAGGAUGACAUGCAAAUUCAUGAAGCAUUCCGUAUUUUU